This 497-nucleotide ribosomal RNA is filed under the name uncultured bacterium. RNAcentral describes it as "partial 16S ribosomal RNA". It matches the Rfam family "Bacterial small subunit ribosomal RNA", at positions 28 to 507 of the family's 1533-position model. The record is from RNAcentral.
GACGAACGCUGGCGGCGUGCCUAAUACAUGCAAGUCGAGCGCUGAAGGUUGGUACUUGUACCGACUGGAUGAGCAGCGAACGGGUGAGUAACGCGUGGGGAAUCUGCCUUUGAGCGGGGGACAACAUUUGGAAACGAAUGCUAAUACCGCAUAAAAGCUUUAAACACAAGGUUUAAGUUUGAAAGAUGCAAUUGCAUCACUCAAAGAGGAUCCCGCGGUGUGUUAGGUAGUUGGGGAGGUAAAGGCCCAACCAAGCGAUGGUACCUAGCCGGACGGGGAGGGGUCGUGGCCACAUUGGGACUGAGAAACGGCCCAAACCCCUACGGGAGGCAGGAGUAGGGAAUCUUCGGCAAUGGACGAAAGUCUGACCGAGCAACGCCGGGGGAGUGAAGAAGGUUUUCGGAUCGUAAAACUCUGUUGGUAGAGAAGAACGUUGGUGAGAGUGGAAAGCUCAUCAAGUGACGGUAACUACCCAGAAAGGGACGGCUAACUACGUG